Molecule: transfer RNA, 82 nt
Filed under: Phycisphaerae bacterium
Lineage: Bacteria; Pseudomonadati; Planctomycetota; Phycisphaerae
Description: tRNA-Leu
Rfam family: tRNA
About the family: Transfer RNA (tRNA) molecules are approximately 80 nucleotides in length.
Source: RNAcentral
GCGCGAGUGGCGGAAUUGGCAGACGCGCAGGAUUUAGGUUCCUGUACCGCAAGGUGUGGGGGUUCGAUUCCCCCCUCGCGCA